RNAcentral lists this ribosomal RNA (253 nucleotides) under uncultured bacterium. Its description in RNAcentral is "partial 16S ribosomal RNA". It matches the Rfam family "Bacterial small subunit ribosomal RNA", at positions 524 to 776 of the family's 1533-position model. The record is from RNAcentral.
UACGUAGGUGACCAGCGUUGUCCGGAUUUACUGGGCGUAAAGAGCGCGCAGGCGGUCGUUCAAGUCGAGUGUGAAAGCCCCCGGCUCAACUGGGGAGGGUCACUCGAUACUGAUCGACUUGAAGGCAGGAGAGGGAAGCGGAAUUCCCGGUGUAGUGGUGAAAUGCGUAGAGAUCAGGAAGAACACCGGUGGCGAAAGCGCUCUGCUAGGCCGCAACUGACACUCAUGGACGAAAGCUAGGGGAGCGAAUGGG